RNAcentral lists this ribosomal RNA (253 nucleotides) under uncultured bacterium. Its description in RNAcentral is "partial 16S ribosomal RNA". It matches the Rfam family "Bacterial small subunit ribosomal RNA", at positions 524 to 776 of the family's 1533-position model. The record is from RNAcentral.
UACGGAGGGUGCAAGCGUUGUCCGGAAUCACUGGGCGUAAAGGGCGCGUAGGCGGCUCGGUAAGUCGGGGGUGAAAUCCUGCGGCUCAACCGCAGGGCUGCCUUCUAAACUGUCGAGCUCGAGCACGGUAGAGGCAGAUGGAAUUCCCGGUGUAGCGGUGGAAUGCGUAGAGAUCGGGAAGAACAUCAGUGGCGAAGGCGGUCUGCUGGGCCGUUGCUGACGCUGAGGCGCGACAGCGUGGGGAGCAAACGGG